CCUACGGGUGGCUGCAGUGGGGAAUAUUGGACAAUGGGGGGAACCCUGAUCCAGCCAUGCCGCGUGUGUGAAGAAGGCCCUCGGGUUGUAAAGCACUUUCAGUGAGGAAGAACGCCUGGUGGUUAAUACCCAUCAGGAAAGACAUCACUCACAGAAGAAGCACCGGCUAACUCCGUGCCAGCAGCCGCGGUAAUACGGAGGGUGCGAGCGUUAAUCGGAAUUACUGGGCGUAAAGCGCGCGUAGGUGGCUUGAUAAGCCGGUUGUGAAAGCCCCGGGCUCAACCUGGGAACGGCAUCCGGAACUGUCAAGCUAGAGUGCAGGAGAGGAAGGUAGAAUUCCCGGUGUAGCGGUGAAAUGCGUAGAGAUCUGGAGGAAUACCAGUGGCGAAGGCGGCCUUCUGGACUGACACUGACACUGAGGUGCGAAAGCGUGGGUAGCAAACAGGAUUAGAUACCCCAGUAGUC
This 465-nucleotide ribosomal RNA is filed under the name Vreelandella stevensii. RNAcentral's name for it is "partial 16S ribosomal RNA". It matches the Rfam family "Bacterial small subunit ribosomal RNA", at positions 338 to 795 of the family's 1533-position model. Lineage: Bacteria; Pseudomonadati; Pseudomonadota; Gammaproteobacteria; Oceanospirillales; Halomonadaceae. The record is from RNAcentral.